Molecule: long non-coding RNA, 357 nt
Organism: Sebastes umbrosus (honeycomb rockfish)
Lineage: Eukaryota; Metazoa; Chordata; Actinopteri; Perciformes; Sebastidae
Exons: 2
Source: RefSeq, a predicted model, not a curated record
AAGAUGAUUGUAAGGUCACUAAUCUUUCUAUGUGUGUGUGCGCUCGUGUGUGUGCUCUUAAUGGUAGCGGGUGUUCCAGUCCAGAUAUUUCCAUUAUCUCAGGGAGCAAAUAACAUUUCUGAAGUCUAUUCAAAGUGCGGUGCCUUUAGGAGCCAGUGCUGAGUGUUUCCUGCAAGAUGAUUGCCUUAAAGGAAUACUGCUGCCACAAAAUGAGCAUUUGUAUAUCAAUUGCUCACUGCGGGUGACUUUCUAUUAUUGAAGAAAACUUUUGUUUUUCUCACAUGCUUCCUCUGUGAAUCAGAAAACAGAUUAAGUCCUUGAUGAAUUGAAGUAAAUGGAGGACAUUUUUAAAAACAG